Molecule: long non-coding RNA, 481 nt
Filed under: Mytilus galloprovincialis (Mediterranean mussel)
Lineage: Eukaryota; Metazoa; Mollusca; Bivalvia; Mytilida; Mytilidae
Source: RNAcentral
GUUGUGUGAUUGUAACACAAGGUGUUUUAUGACCAACUGAGUCAGAUUUUGUCGUCCGGUUAAAAUAUGUAUGAUCUUAUCUUAUCUUAUAGACGAUAAAACCUUACAGACCAGGACAAAUACAGAUAUACAUAUAUUCAGAAUAAGAAAAACAACAUCCCAUUUGAAUUUGUUCGAUAUUAUUUGGCUUCCUAACAAGUUACGUGUUAUGUUACCUUAUGCGCAUAAAGGGUGUUAACAAUUAGAUAAAAAUCAAUAUAAAAAAAAAUCAAUUGUCUUGGCCUUGUUUUUUUUGUAGGAAUACCUUUCAAGGUAUGAAAAUAGAUGAUGUGACGUAUUUUAAUGUACUAUAAUUAGCAUCUAUCGGGCUAUUUAAAACAUGAUUUACCUAUCUUAUCGAAUGAAAAGAAUUCACGGGAAAUUGGCCAUACCUCUUUUAAAUGUAUCAAUGAACUUCUUGCAAUAUUUUAGUUGCAAUAAU